UUAAGCGACUAAGCGUACACGGUGGAUGCCCUGGCAGUCAGAGGCGAUGAAGGACGUGCUAAUCUGCGAUAAGCGUCGGUGAGGUGAUAUGAACCGUUAUAACCGGCGAUUUCCGAAUGGGGAAACCCAGUGUGUUUCGACACACUAUCAUUAACUGAAUCCAUAGGUUAAUGAGGCGAACCGGGGGAACUGAAACAUCUAAGUACCCCGAGGAAAAGAAAUCAACCGAGAUUCCCCCAGUAGCGGCGAGCGAACGGGGAGGAGCCCAGAGCCUGAAUCAGUGUGUGUGUUAGUGGAAGCGUCUGGAAAGGCGCGCGAUACAGGGUGACAGCCCCGUACACAAAAAUGCACAUAUUGUGAGCUCGAUGAGUAGGGCGGGACACGUGGUAUCCUGUCUGAAUAUGGGGGGACCAUCCUCCAAGGCUAAAUACUCCUGACUGACCGAUAGUGAACCAGUACCGUGAGGGAAAGGCGAAAAGAACCCCGGCGAGGGGAGUGAAAAAGAACCUGAAACCGUGUACGUACAAGCAGUGGGAGCCUCUUAAUGGGGUGACUGCGUACCUUUUGUAUAAUGGGUCAGCGACUUAUAUUCUGUAGCAAGGUUAACCGAAUAGGGGAGCCGAAGGGAAACCGAGUCUUAACUGGGCGUUAAGUUGCAGGGUAUAGACCCGAAACCCGGUGAUCUAGCCAUGGGCAGGUUGAAGGUUGGGUAACACUAACUGGAGGACCGAACCGACUAAUGUUGAAAAAUUAGCGGAUGACUUGUGGCUGGGGGUGAAAGGCCAAUCAAACCGGGAGAUAGCUGGUUCUCCCCGAAAGCUAUUUAGGUAGCGCCUCGUGAAUUCAUCUCCGGGGGUAGAGCACUGUUUCGGCAAGGGGGUCAUCCCGACUUACCAACCCGAUGCAAACUGCGAAUACCGGAGAAUGUUAUCACGGGAGACACACGGCGGGUGCUAACGUCCGUCGUGAAGAGGGAAACAACCCAGACCGCCAGCUAAGGUCCCAAAGUCAUGGUUAAGUGGGAAACGAUGUGGGAAGGCCUAGACAGCCAGGAUGUUGGCUUAGAAGCAGCCAUCAUUUAAAGAAAGCGUAAUAGCUCACUGGUCGAGUCGGCCUGCGCGGAAGAUGUAACGGGGCUAAACCAUGCACCGAAGCUGCGGCAGCGACACUAUGUGUUGUUGGGUAGGGGAGCGUUCUGUAAGCCUGUGAAGGUGUACUGUGAGGUAUGCUGGAGGUAUCAGAAGUGCGAAUGCUGACAUAAGUAACGAUAAAGCGGGUGAAAAGCCCGCUCGCCGGAAGACCAAGGGUUCCUGUCCAACGUUAAUCGGGGCAGGGUGAGUCGACCCCUAAGGCGAGGCCGAAAGGCGUAGUCGAUGGGAAACAGGUUAAUAUUCCUGUACUUGGUGUUACUGCGAAGGGGGGACGGAGAAGGCUAUGUUGGCCGGGCGACGGUUGUCCCGGUUUAAGCGUGUAGGCUGGUUUUCCAGGCAAAUCCGGAAAAUCAAGGCUGAGGCGUGAUGACGAGGCACUACGGUGCUGAAGCGACAAAUGCCCUGCUUCCAGGAAAAGCCUCUAAGCAUCAGGUAACAUCAAAUCGUACCCCAAACCGACACAGGUGGUCAGGUAGAGAAUACCAAGGCGCUUGAGAGAACUCGGGUGAAGGAACUAGGCAAAAUGGUGCCGUAACUUCGGGAGAAGGCACGCUGAUAUGUAGGUGAAGCGACUUGCUCGUGGAGCUGAAAUCAGUCGAAGAUACCAGCUGGCUGCAACUGUUUAUUAAAAACACAGCACUGUGCAAACACGAAAGUGGACGUAUACGGUGUGACGCCUGCCCGGUGCCGGAAGGUUAAUUGAUGGGGUUAGCGGUAACGCGAAGCUCUUGAUCGAAGCCCCGGUAAACGGCGGCCGUAACUAUAACGGUCCUAAGGUAGCGAAAUUCCUUGUCGGGUAAGUUCCGACCUGCACGAAUGGCGUAAUGAUGGCCAGGCUGUCUCCACCCGAGACUCAGUGAAAUUGAACUCGCUGUGAAGAUGCAGUGUACCCGCGGCAAGACGGAAAGACCCCGUGAACCUUUACUAUAGCUUGACACUGAACAUUGAGCCUUGAUGUGUAGGAUAGGUGGGAGGCUUUGAAGUGUGGACGCCAGUCUGCAUGGAGCCGACCUUGAAAUACCACCCUUUAAUGUUUGAUGUUCUAACGUGGGCCCCUUACCGGGGUUGCGGACAGUGUCUGGUGGGUAGUUUGACUGGGGCGGUCUCCUCCUAAAGAGUAACGGAGGAGCACGAAGGUUGGCUAAUCCUGGUCGGACAUCAGGAGGUUAGUGCAAUGGCAUAAGCCAGCUUGACUGCGAGCGUGACGGCGCGAGCAGGUGCGAAAGCAGGUCAUAGUGAUCCGGUGGUUCUGAAUGGAAGGGCCAUCGCUCAACGGAUAAAAGGUACUCCGGGGAUAACAGGCUGAUACCGCCCAAGAGUUCAUAUCGACGGCGGUGUUUGGCACCUCGAUGUCGGCUCAUCACAUCCUGGGGCUGAAGUAGGUCCCAAGGGUAUGGCUGUUCGCCAUUUAAAGUGGUACGCGAGCUGGGUUUAGAACGUCGUGAGACAGUUCGGUCCCUAUCUGCCGUGGGCGCUGGAGAACUGAGGGGGGCUGCUCCUAGUACGAGAGGACCGGAGUGGACGCAUCACUGGUGUUCGGGUUGUCAUGCCAAUGGCACUGCCCGGUAGCUAAAUGCGGAAGAGAUAAGUGCUGAAAGCAUCUAAGCACGAAACUUGCCCCGAGAUGAGUUCUCCCUGACUCCUUGAGAGUCCUGAAGGAACGUUGAAGACGACGACGUUGAUAGGCCGGGUGUGUAAGCGCAGCGAUGCGUUGAGCUAACCGGUACUAAUGAACCGUGAGGCUUAACCUU
Molecule: ribosomal RNA, 2902 nt
Filed under: Escherichia coli
Lineage: Bacteria; Pseudomonadati; Pseudomonadota; Gammaproteobacteria; Enterobacterales; Enterobacteriaceae
Description: bacterial LSU rRNA
Rfam family: Bacterial large subunit ribosomal RNA
Source: RNAcentral